GCAACGAUGCGUAGCCGACCUGAGAGGGUGAUCGGCCACACUGGAACUGAGACACGGUCCAGACUCCUACGGGAGGCAGCAGUAGGGAAUCUUCCGCAAUGGGCGAAAGCCUGACGGAGCACCGCCGCGUGAGUGAUGAAGGUCUUCGGAUCGUAAAACUCUGUUCUUAGGGAAGAACAAAUGUGUAAGUAACUAUGCAC
This 200-nucleotide ribosomal RNA is filed under the name Staphylococcus epidermidis. RNAcentral's name for it is "partial 16S ribosomal RNA". It matches the Rfam family "Bacterial small subunit ribosomal RNA", at positions 273 to 473 of the family's 1533-position model. Lineage: Bacteria; Bacillati; Bacillota; Bacilli; Caryophanales; Staphylococcaceae. The record is from RNAcentral.